CAAAACCUCUCGGUUUGCUUGAGUAGAAAUGGAGUAAUGUCUGUGUAUGUUAAAAUGUUAAACAUUUACCACCCAAAAUCCUCACUACUUUCAAAUAGUUCUUUUCAUUUUAUUCUAGUUGUUGCAGACUCAAUUUAAAUAGAUUAACUUAUAAAACAUCUUUUUUCUUUUUUAAAUCCAAAAGUUCCUGCCGCUUGUUUAAGAUGAGUACAAACAACAAGUUGAGAAUUAAAUGAAGUUCACUUGAACUCUUUAAUUAAGCAGAAUGUUUUAUUUUACAGUGAGGAAGGCCGGAGUCUAGCUUUAGCAGAUGGCUGGAGGCAUCUGACCCGCUUCAAACUCAGUACCUGUUUGCUCUACGGCAAAAAUUUGGUAAGAUUAAAUUUAGUCGGCUAAAGAAAAUCAGACGGUUCAUUACGAGUGAAAUCUCUUGAGGUAUUCAAGUUUCUUGUUUGUUCAGAUCUUGCUAGUCAUUUCCAUAGUAUGGUUACUAAUUAGCAGUUGAUUCUUUUGUGUCUAGAUGCAAUAUAAUCAUUCAGUUCACAAUUAAAGUUUUAUCAUCAGGAUUCUGCAAAUAUAAUAUUUUCAUAGUAUCUUUCAAUCAUUCUUUUCAUACAGUCUAGGCUAUAUAGAAAUAUUAAAUGUGUAUGUUCUUUGAUAAUGUUUUACAAUAUAACCUGAUAUGUAUGCAUCAUAAUCUGUAACCUGUUUUACUUAUUUAAUGUGGCGUGACCACUAACCACGCUCUGAGUUCGUGCCAGGCAUCGUUCUAAGAUUGUCGCACGCUAAGUCGUGGACAGCUGCACCUACGCAGGGUUGGACACAUGGACGAAUUGAAUGGUUAUUCCGUGUUUCAUACUCUUACCAAGAUCCGAGUUCGUGUUGUAACUUAAGAGGUCAGUUUGAACCAUCACACAAACAAUGGCUGGAAUUCAUGGUCAGAUAUGAAAUGGGAAGUGACCGCACAAUUAUUAGAGAAUCUGCCUGAGAGAGAGGAAAUGGCCAUUCUUCGCUCUCACGCAAUGAAAGAGUAUAAGACAGGAGUAGUCCCUCGUCUUAGAAGAGUCUGCCGUGGGUUGCGUACGGACGCCCUGCCACGUGAAUGCUGCUCCCUGCCUAGACUGACGGCUCUCCAGUCUUGGGUCACGAAACUGACUGCUCGUGACUGGAGGAGACAACUGUCAGCAUUGAUCGCACCCUCAAGUGAAUCUGCAACAGCGCUGAUAAGGAGAAAUGCAGAGGGGGUCGUUUCCCCUCUGACCCCUCAGACCGUUUCCUGUAGAAUAUUGUGUUAGGAGUUGAUUGUGCGGUAUGAAGCAAGCUUGAAUAGGUUUCAGUUGGUGUGUUUCCCCCACCCCCUUUAGUAACUGAACCUCAUGUAACUAGGGUGUUCCCAAACUAAAUAAAAAGCCUGGAGAGCGGAGACUGCUUCAGAGUUGGGUUGGAGGAUUGUAAACUGAGCAGUCUCCGAGCAACUCUCCUUGCAAGUAUACAGCU
Poecilia reticulata (guppy) is the source of this 1497-nucleotide non-coding RNA. NCBI's taxonomy places the organism in Eukaryota, Metazoa, Chordata, Actinopteri, Cyprinodontiformes, Poeciliidae. The record is from RefSeq and is a predicted model, not a curated record.